CUCCUCUCCUUAAUUGAGUGGCCACUGGCUUGGCCGUGCUUUUUGCCUUCAACAACCAACAAAUACAUUAAAUCAAUCUUAUUUGUACAGCAAUGCAUAUGAAAGAGUUCAGAAAUAUUGGGAUUGGUCUAUUGUUUUCUUUAAUGUCAGUGAGACCACCAUACAAAUACCAUUGCCAAUGGUAAACGAAUUGAUGCCUUAUUUCUCUUGGAUUUGAAUGCCCUGAAGUCAAGUGGGUUACAUGGCGUGGCUUCUCAAUACCCACCAAAUAUGGCCAUUAGCCCCAUUUAAAAAGAGAGCCGCUAUUUGCAUCAUUGCAUGGAAAGUGGAACAAGACAAAAAGGAGUAACUAGGUAUAUUUAUAUAGUUUCUAGUCCCUUUUUGUUCUUAUUCAUGGAGCCCUUAUAUCCUUAUUUACGACAACAACACACGUACGUUCACGUGUUACAAUUGUAAGAAUAUGGAUUGAUAAGACAGAGAUAAGGGCACUUUUUGCAGUGAAAAACCUGUCAUCCAAUCUCAAACUAUUGUAAGGCAAAUUAU
RNAcentral lists this long non-coding RNA (543 nucleotides) under Gossypium barbadense (sea-island cotton). RNAcentral's name for it is "long non-coding RNA (GBAR_LNC019449)". Lineage: Eukaryota; Viridiplantae; Streptophyta; Magnoliopsida; Malvales; Malvaceae. The record is from RNAcentral.